CUACGGGCGGCUGCAGUGAGGAAUAUUGCGCAAUGGGGGAAACCCUGACGCAGCGACGCCGCGUGGAUGAUGAAGGCCUUAGGGUCGUAAAAUCCUGCCAGGUGGGAAGAAGUGGAUAUAGAUUAAUACUCUAUUUCUUUGACGGUACCACCAAAGGAAGCACCGGCUAACUCCGUGCCAGCAGCCGCGGUAAUACGGAGGGUGCAAACGUUGUUCGGAAUUACUGGGCGUAAAGCGCGCGUAGGCGGUUUGUUAAGUCAGAUGUGAAAGUCCAUGGCUCAACCAUGGAAGUGCAUUUGAACUGGCAGACUUGAGUACUGGAGGGGGUGAUGGAAUUCCCGGUGUAGAGGUGAAAUUCGUAGAUAUCGGGAGGAAUACCGGUGGCGAAGGCGAUCACCUGGCCAGAUACUGACGCUGAGGUGCGAAAGCGUGGGGAGCAAACAGGAUUAGAUACCCCCGUAGUC
This 464-nucleotide ribosomal RNA is filed under the name uncultured bacterium. Its description in RNAcentral is "partial 16S ribosomal RNA". It matches the Rfam family "Bacterial small subunit ribosomal RNA", at positions 339 to 795 of the family's 1533-position model. The record is from RNAcentral.